Long non-coding RNA from Alligator mississippiensis (American alligator), 2239 nucleotides. RefSeq lists it as uncharacterized. The transcript has 3 exons. NCBI's taxonomy places the organism in Eukaryota, Metazoa, Chordata, Crocodylia, Alligatoridae. The record is from RefSeq and is a predicted model, not a curated record.
CAUUCCUGAGGGAGGGGGGUAACCUGCUUCCUCUGCCUAUGUGACUUGCAUCACAUACCUGGGUGAGGGGCUUGGGCUCCCUAUUGUUCUGAGCAAUACCAGUGUACCUGGCAACCAGUGAUGCAUUUCAAAUUGAUUGGCUAGCAGCCAACAGGUCAGCUGGCCUCAAUUGGACCAGGUAAAUGAGGUCAUAAGGUCUAUGUAAGUUAAGGGCUGCCCGGGAGGAGGAGCAGUAGCCAUGAUGAGAAUUGAGAGAGAGAAGCUGGACCAUCUGAAACUUGCUCUUUCUUGAAACUUAUGAUUACUGAACUGCCUGCCUCCAGAGGGAAUCUCCACCUGCCUAUGGAUGAUACUUAGGUGCACCGAUACACCGGUCCCAUAUUGCAUUGGCAUCAAUAAAAGGAAAGUGGACAUUGUCGGCAAUCAGCUUAUCAGACACAUCAGCCAAGAAAAUGUCAGUGAAAAACGCCGCGUGCACCCCAGCACCAACGCAGCCAGAAGCGCAGCUUGGAGAGCAGCAUCUGGUUGAUGGCACUGCACCCAGCAAGCUCGCUAAUCCAGUGCUUCUCAAACUAUCUGAUGUGGCGGACCUGGAAUUUUUUUUUCUAGUGGGCCAGGGACCGGUGCCCAGUUCAGCUGGUGGCAGCAACUGCGUGUAACAGUGCUACACAAAUGCACGACCAGCUGUUUCUUUCUCUUUCCUCACCUCGCAUGAUGUGACGUCACCUGGAGUGUUGGAACGUACGAACUGCGGUGCUAUGACAUAUCAAUGUUAUGUUCUGAAAAUAUAUUUUUCUUUCUUUCCUGGGAACUCGAUGCGGAACAGCAACCGGUGGCUCGCGGACUGGCAAUGGUCCACGGACCACCACUUUGAGAAGCACUAAGUCUAAUCAACAAGUAGUAUUGUAAGCACUCACAUACUGUCCAGAAGAUCAGAGUCCCGUAUCUGCAAAGCAAGCCUUCCACAGGUUUGGACAAUGAACAAGGCUGUCAGGAAUCAAGGGACCCGGGGCUAAGAAAAUGAACUCAAAGGAGAAACAGGCCAAAUGUCUAUUCUUCUCACUCAGCAGCUCACCCAGCACUCACUAACCCCUGCAUUCCAUCCACUUGUCUUUGUCACUCCUACACGUGUCUCUAGGAGUCUUAGCUAGGAACAGACUGCAUGACCAAAGAAGUCAAAGUACCAGUAUUUAAAAAAAUAUUUUCUACUUUGUUGCAGCCAAUAUCAUCACAAAUAGCAGUCAUCUCCGUUCAGAAUGCAAUUUAGUUUCCAUCACAAAUCCAAUUAAAGAUUCCCUCUAAAACCCAUAGGAAAAGCAGUGUUGGUUUCAAAACUAGUAGGUUCCAUCAGGUGGCUGAGGAACACCUUUUCUAAAGAAAAUGCCAAUUUGUUUCAUGGUGAGUUACAAAACUCAAGGGAAACCAGAACCAGAGUUUAUAUAGUUUACUGACUUUUGCAACUCUGUAGCAAAAAACAAACAAACCACAACACAGGAGGAAAUAAGAUUUAGUUCACUGCACUCCCCAACACUCAGAUGUAGCAUACAGCUCCAAUAUUUCACUGGCUGAAGAUUAAUUACAGAAGCUAUUAACAUAUGACUCAGCAGGGGGUACAUUAACUCACCCACAUGGAAUCGCAUCCCCAGGGUUCAGAGGAAAUGGAAUGUCCUUCCAAAGAUGUUCAGGGCUAGCGGUUAGUGAAGUCUCGUUUUGCAGAUCUGUCCCUUACCAGGAUUAUAACUGGCUAAGAAUCCUCUCUCAAAAAUCUUUAAGUGCUAUCAAAAUUACUAAUACAUCUCUGUUAGAUGCUCAGAAAUUUCAGAAUUACACUACAACACAGUGCCAAAUUAAUUAGCCCCCGCAAGCUGAAUAAGUAGUGCUGAGCCAGCGUGGGCCCAAUCUGGCCCAAGGACUGAGUGCAGCUCUGUGAAGCGUGCACCCAGGACGAGCCCCAAGUGCAGCCAUGCGUACACCUGGGACCAACCCUGAGCAUAGCUGCAGACAGCAUGUGCCCAACACUAGCCCAGAGUAGAUACCAGUGCACAUGUCCAAUUUCAGACCCGGGGGGAGCAGCACCAGGGGCUAUGCAUAUCUUUGGCAUCCCUGCACUACACUCCUCAAACUACACACCCCUACCCACCCUUAAGCCCCUCCCUUGAGUAGAGGCUAGGAAAUUGCAUGUGGAGACUUCUGCAUUGAAUAACACUUGUGGGCUGGCCUGGGGUAUCUUGGGGUUAAU